This is a long non-coding RNA of Amphiprion ocellaris (clown anemonefish), 1006 nucleotides long. Lineage: Eukaryota; Metazoa; Chordata; Actinopteri; Pomacentridae. The record is from Ensembl.
CAAACUCCCGUCUGAUCCAAUCAGAGCCGAGGGAAGCUGCGGAGACGGCAGCUGUACGGCAGAGGACAGGGUCAUAAAGCGCAGAGGGCCGAAAGAGGAAGUCAAGGGACCUGGUUUCCCAGAGACUAUGGGUUGAGGAGGAAUUGGAAGUUUGUCGGCUUAGACCUGGUGUCAUUCCAUCAGUGUUAAACUUCCCGGCUCAUCUUGGAAGAGUAUGUGCCAGAAAGACCAUGACCAAGCAGCCUUGAGAUCUUAGGCAGCGUCUCCCUGAGACCAAAGAACUACUAACUCUUCACAACCUGCUCAAACUCUUGGUACAGGACCUCACCACACGGGUCAAGAAGGUUUCUGUCUCAUUUCUACUCUGAAGAUCACCUUCUCCUACUCAAACUGCUGACAAAUGUUUCUACUGCUCUAAAAUCUGUGUAACCCAUAUGAAAACGCAGUGUUGGGUUUACUUAGCAUAUUUGAAUUUUUAGUUUCUGUAACUUUAAUUUAAAUAUCGGAAUUUAUUAAUAUAGCUGUAAUAGGAUGAUUGUAGUCACUUUAAGCAGCCGCUAGGUGGCUCUGUGCGCUCAGUGUAGAGAAUCUAGUAGACGUGCGCAUUGCAUGCUGGGAUAUAGACACCCCAGCUAAGCCAGAUUCUAAAGCUGCUACAGUACAUUCAUCACAGUUAUUGAUAUUUUAUUUAAGAAAAACCGCUUUAAUUUUAAAGUUAAGAGUGUGUACAUGUUUUGAGGUGUCCCGAAAGAGUCCCACACCGCUGCGACGGCAGGAUUUGUUUUCUUUUGUUUUUCUCCACCGAGGACUCCGAUUGGUUUUUUCUUGAUGCUGGAUCUACAGUCAGUGGACAGCAGUGAUUCCAACCAGGGUUAAAGAGGAUCCAGAAUUCUCCAUCUUCAUCAUCUUCAUGAAGAUUCAUGUUGGCAGAUAAGAUUUAAACGGCGCGCAGUAACCAUACAAACACACACACACUACCCGGGUAGAACACAAUAUACACACACAC